Molecule: transfer RNA, 89 nt
Filed under: Rhodospirillales bacterium
Lineage: Bacteria; Pseudomonadati; Pseudomonadota; Alphaproteobacteria; Rhodospirillales
Description: tRNA-Ile
Rfam family: tRNA
About the family: Transfer RNA (tRNA) molecules are approximately 80 nucleotides in length. Their secondary structure includes four short double-helical elements and three loops (D, anti-codon, and T loops).
Source: RNAcentral
GGGGGAGUAGCUCAGCGGUAGAGCAGCGGGUUUAUACCCCGUGGCGCCAGAUAAGCGGCAGGUCGUGGGUUCGAAUCCCACCUCCCGUA